GUGGGGAAUAUUGCACAAUGGGGGAAACCCUGAUGCAGCGACGCCGCGUGAAGGAAGAAGUAUCUCGGUAUGUAAACUUCUAUCAGCAGGGAAGAUAGUGACGGUACCUGACUAAGAAGCCCCGGCUAACUACGUGCCAGCAGCCGCGGUAAUACGUAGGGGGCAAGCGUUAUCCGGAUUUACUGGGUGUAAAGGGAGCGUAGACGGUGUGGCAAGUCUGAUGUGAAAGGCAUGGGCUCAACCUGUGGACUGCAUUGGAAACUGUCAUACUUGAGUGCCGGAGGGGUAAGCGGAAUUCCUAGUGUAGCGGUGAAAUGCGUAGAUAUUAGGAGGAACACCAGUGGCGAAGGCGGCUUACUGGACGGUAACUGACGUUGAGGCUCGAAAGCGUGGGGAGCAAACAGGAUUAGAAACCCCUGUAGUCC
This 425-nucleotide ribosomal RNA is filed under the name uncultured Lachnospiraceae bacterium. RNAcentral describes it as "bacterial SSU rRNA". It matches the Rfam family "Bacterial small subunit ribosomal RNA", at positions 354 to 796 of the family's 1533-position model. Lineage: Bacteria; Bacillati; Bacillota; Clostridia; Lachnospirales; Lachnospiraceae. The record is from RNAcentral.